Molecule: transfer RNA, 67 nt
Filed under: Neotetracus sinensis (Shrew gymnure)
Lineage: Eukaryota; Metazoa; Chordata; Mammalia; Eulipotyphla; Erinaceidae
Description: tRNA-Thr
Source: RNAcentral
GUCUUUGUAGUAUAACUAAUACUCUGGUCUUGUAAACCAGAAAUGAAACAAUAAGUUUCCAAAGAUA